RNAcentral lists this ribosomal RNA (456 nucleotides) under uncultured bacterium. Its description in RNAcentral is "bacterial SSU rRNA". It matches the Rfam family "Bacterial small subunit ribosomal RNA", at positions 425 to 896 of the family's 1533-position model. The record is from RNAcentral.
GUAAACCGCUUUUUGAGGGGACGAGCGAGGACGGUACCUUCAGAUAAGUCUCGGCUAACUACGUGCCAGCAGCCGCGGUAAGACGUAGGAGGCGAGCGUUAUCCGGAUUCACUGGGCGUAAAGCGCAUGUAGGCGGCUGUGCAAGUCGUGUGUUAAAGCCCCUGGCUCAACUGGGGGAGGUCAUGCGAUACUGUGCGGCUGGAGGGCAGUAGAGGGCACAUGGAAAUCCCCGGUGUAGCGGUGGAAAUGCGUAGAGAUCGGGAAGAACACCUGUGGCGAAGGCGGUGUGCUGGGCUGCACCUGACGCUGAGAUGCGAAAGUGUGGGGAAGCAAACGGGAUUAGAUACCCCGGUAGUCCACACUGUAAACGAUGAACCCUAGGUGUGGGGGGGUUACCCCUCCGUGCCGUAGCUAACGCGUUAAGGGUUCCGCCUGGGGACUAUGAGCGCAAGCUUA